RNAcentral lists this ribosomal RNA (270 nucleotides) under uncultured bacterium. Its description in RNAcentral is "partial 16S ribosomal RNA". It matches the Rfam family "Bacterial small subunit ribosomal RNA", at positions 338 to 605 of the family's 1533-position model. The record is from RNAcentral.
CCUACGGGACGCAGCAGUGAGGAAUAUUGGUAAAUGGGCGAGAGCCUGAACCAGCCAAGUCGCGUGAGGGAAGACGGUCCUAUGGAUUGUAAACCUCUUUUGCCGGGGAGCAAAAAGCGGUACGUGUACCGCAUCGAGAGUACCCGGAGAAAAAGAAUCGGAUAACUCCGUGCAAGCAGCCGCGGUAAUACGGAGGAUGCGAGCGUUAUCCGGAUUUAUUGGGUUUAAAGGGGGCGCAGGCGGCGAGUUAAGGCAGCGGAAAAAUUUCGG